ACUCCUACGGGAGGCAGCAGUAGGGAAUCUUCCACAAUGGGCGCAAGCCUGAUGGAGCAACACCGCGUGAGUGAAGUAAGGGUUUCGGCUCGUAAAGCUCUGUUAGUUAAAGAGGAACACGUAUGAGAGUAACUGUUCAUACGUUGACGGUAUUUAACCAGAAAGUCACGGCUAACUACGUGCCAGCAGCCGCGGUAAUACGUAGGUGGCAAGCGUUAUCCGGAUUUAUUGGGCGUAAAGAGAGUGCAGGCGGUUUUCUAAGUCUGAUGUGAAAGCCUUCGGCUUAACCGGAGAAGUGCAUCGGAAACUGGAUAACUUGAGUGCAGAAGAGGUAGUGGAACUCCAUGUGUAGCGGUGGAAUGCGUAGAUAUAUGGAAGAACACCAGUGGCGAAGGCGGCUACCUGGUCUGCAACUGACGCUGAGACUCGAAAGCAUGGGUAGCGAACAGGAUUAGAUACCCCUGGUAGGAUAGCG
This 475-nucleotide ribosomal RNA is filed under the name uncultured bacterium. Its description in RNAcentral is "bacterial SSU rRNA". It matches the Rfam family "Bacterial small subunit ribosomal RNA", at positions 335 to 801 of the family's 1533-position model. The record is from RNAcentral.